RNAcentral lists this long non-coding RNA (21368 nucleotides) under Triticum aestivum (bread wheat). RNAcentral's name for it is "long non-coding RNA (TAES_LNC004258)". The record is from RNAcentral. Lineage: Eukaryota; Viridiplantae; Streptophyta; Magnoliopsida; Poales; Poaceae.
GCUCCCCCUGUAGCGGCCAGUGCGGCCUCAAGUUGGACCUUGCACUCUUGGAGCUCCUGGGACAGAUGGGUAUUCUUCACCGUAAGACCUGCAUAGAAAUUGAUCCUUAAAUCAGUUAUUUUAACUAUUUUAAGUCUCGGGAGCUACUGGCAUAUAUAACUAUUAAAAUUACUUACACGUAUGUCUUUCACAUACUGCUCCGUGGCUCUGGUUAACCCAUCUUGAGCGGCACGGAGGUGCGCGUUUCCCGCAUCAAAGGCGUUUAACGCCUCCGGGGGAAAACACGCGUCACAAAGAACUGUCCGGCGACGCCUGUGAUUCAUGGCGCUCUCCACCUCAGACCGGGUGGCGGACAGCCUGUCGGCAUCCUCCGUCAGAGGAGCAUCCGGCUCGUGCCUUGUAUUCGCCUCCCCUCGCGGGCCAUGCGUUGGAGCAUGGCUGGCGGAGGCUUGAUUGGCAACCUCUUCGGACACUGUCCGGCGAGCGCUCUUUCUGGAAAAGUUAUGAGCAUUAAUAUACCUCCUGGGAAUCCUUCCCUUAAAAAUAGCGGUGCUCCGUACCGUUGCGGCGACGUUUCAGUUCGCGUCGCACUCCUCUUCCGCCUGCCGGGCCAAACUGACCCUUGUUGGUCGGCCACCGCGGGUUCGACUUCCCGCCUUAAAGGCACCUCCUGCGAUGCACCAUCAGUAUGGGAUGGUCAGAAUUGAGCACGGAUCAAAUGAUGGUGUCAAGACCUCGGUCGUAGUCACCUUGGAGGCCGGAAAUAAACCGGGGUAGUCAGCCGUAAUGGCGACUAAAGCAUUGUCUAUGCUGAGCUGGUGGAACACCCCGUCGAUCAGUUCCACCGCUAAGUCCGGAUCCUCUUCGGAGGCCGGGUCAAGGGACCUUUCUGGAUCCUCGGGUUAUGGAGCUGGGCUUUUUAUGCCCUCCACAUCCUGACGCAGUUCCUGUGUCAAAAUCAUACAAUAAGACAAUUGCCUUUAAAGGCACGGAUCAGAUAUGCAUGUGACCGCUUACCUAGCUCCGAGGGUUGUUCAUGGAAAACCCGUUCAGGGGAUUCGUACGGAGGAAGCCCUCCUUCUCCCCCUUGUACAAGCCGGACAGGAUCUUCACCAGGUCGUCGGCCGAGCCAGGUCCCUUGCGGCCGUGACGGGUGGCGUCAUCUUCUCCGUUGAAGUCCCACAUGGGGUAGCCCCUAUAUUGGAGCGGUUGCACUCCGCGCAUAAUGCAUGUGGCCAUGACUCCGAUCAUGGUUAAUCCGGAAUGGGCUAGGAGCCGUAUCCGGCCCAUCAAGUAAUGGACGCUCCUAUCAUCUUCUCGUUGAGGGCUCCGUGGGCGCCAACUCAGGCGUUUCUUCAGUGGAGCGUUGUUGAACUCCGGAAGGCCGAUCCGGACUGGAUCCAGCAGUGGAGCGUCCUCCAUAUAAAACCACUCCGAAGGCCAGUCUUCGGACGCCUUCUUCGGGGUCCCGGGCAGGUAUCCGGUCCCGGCGAUGCGCCAUAUUUCGGCUCCGCCCACUUGACAUAUCGACCCCUCGUGAGAGCGGGGUACGAGGCAAAACAGCCUCUUCCACAGCGCAAAAUGGGGCUCAAUGCCCAAGAACAGCUCACACAGAGCUACAAAGCCCGCGAUGUGCAAACUUAUUUGCGCAGCUAGGGGGUAAAACAUAAAAAUACCCUGGCUUUUCGCAUUCGUACGACGCGUGGAAGAAGGCCAUUAUUGGACGCGGAAGCCAAGGAGCGUAGCAUUUAUGAAGCAACCGGACACUAUCCGGCAAACACAUGGAGCAUGGAGAAGAACCCGCCUUGCAAACGCCGAAGACAACAUACGCGCCAGAUUCGUCGUUAUUGAAGCCUGGUUCGGGGGCUACUGAGGGAGUCCCGGACUAGGGGGUGUCCGGAUAGCCGAACUAUCAUCAUCGGCCGGACUCCAAGACUAUGAAGCUACAAGAUUGAAGACUUCGUCCCGUGUCCGGAUGGAACUUUCCUUGGCGUGGAAGGCAAGCUUGGCGAUACGGAUAUGUAGAUCUCCUACCUUUGUAACCGACUCUGUGUAACCCUAGCCCUCUCCAGUGUCUAUAUAAAUCGGAUGGCCUUAGUCCAUAGGGAGAACAACAAUCAUACCAUAGACUAGCUUCUAGGGUUUAGCCUCCUUGAUCUCGUGGUAGAUCCACUCUUGUAACACACAUCAUCAAUAUUAAUCAAGCAGGACGUAGGGUUUUACCUCCAGCGAGAGGGCCCGAACCUGGGUAAAACAUCGUGUCCCCCGUCUCCUGUUACCAUCCGCCUGGACGCACAGUUCGGGACCCCCUACCCGAGAUCCGCCGGUUUUGACACCGACAGAGGCCAUGACAAGAAGUGUGCGAAUAAUGGUCAUAUGGGCCACAUGAGAAAAACUCUCAUUGUAAUUAUGACCAUGCUCCUGCUGAAAGCCACGAGCCACAAGACAAUCUUUGUAGCACUCAAGAAAACCAUCGGAGUGAGUCUUAACAUUGUAAACCCACUUACAAAUGAUUGGGCGAACACCAAGAGGAAGAGCAACAUGGUCCCACACACCAGUGCACUCAAGAGCUGCAAAGCUCCUCUACCAUUCAGGAUGAAUAACAUCUUGACGAUAAGAAGUCGUCUCAAGGAGCACCAGCGCUUGGAACACCAAGGCGAUCAAUAGGCAGAAGUAGACAAGGACGCAAGCCAUAAGUAGGCUGAGAGGAGGAAGAUGGCACAUCAGUAGAUGCGGCCACAACACGUGAACGACGAGUAGGAUGAGACGAGGAGGACAACACAUUAGUAGACGCAUCCACAUUUUGCGGACGAUGAGUAUAAUACUACUGAAAAGAUGAAAGAAUACAAGGAGGAAUUGCCAAGGUAGACUCGGGUGAUGAAGACAAAAGAAGUCACUGGGGAUGAAGGUGCAGAAUCCCGUGAUAAACGAGAUGAGGACAAUAGGAGAUGGUGGCAUCGGAUCUGCAAUAGUGGGAGAAGCAGGGGCAAUGGGACGGAUGGACAAGGGCUCACCCAGAGUGAUAGGUGUGUCAGGAAAAGUGAGGAAAGAGAUAUCCUCUGCUGAAAAGGUCGGGGAAGAUGAACGCAGGUAGAAGGGACGAGACUCGUUAAAAGUCACAUCCCGAGAAAUACGCAUCCGACGACAAACAAGAUCCCAAGAACGAUAUCCCUUAUGCUCAUCACUAUAGCCUAAGAAGACACACUCAACAGACUGAGCGGACAGUUGGGGCUAGAAGAACAUAGCAAACAUAACCAAACAAACAAAGCACUGGGUAAUCAGGAGAACAAUCAAAGAGAUGCUCGAAAGGAACACCACCUUGCAGAGCAGUGGACGGCUGAAGGUUUGAUGAGAUAGGUGGAAGUGGAGACAACCUCGGCCCAAAAGUGAGGCGGAAGAGAGGCGACGAUCAUUAUUGCACGAGCCGUCUAAAUAAGUUGACGAUGCUUGCGCUCAGCCACGCCAUUAUGAGCAUGAGCAACAGGACAAGAAAACCGAGCAAGAGUACCCUGCUCGGCGAGAACCCCACGCAACAUCUUGGAUAUAUACUCUCCAGCAAAGUCAGCAUGGAACACACGAAUAGGCCUAGAGAACUGAGUGUGAACCAUGGCAGCAAAACACUUACGAAUAGAUAAGACCUCACUACGAGAAGAUAUAAAAUAUAUCCAGGUGUGGUGAGAGAAAUCAUCUAUAAAGAUAAUAUAGUAGCGAUAAACCCCUUUCAAGGCAAAGGGAGCUGGACCCUAGACAUCAGAGUGAACAAGGUCGAAAGGAUGCUGAUAUACAGUGUCACUAUGAGGCUAAGGUAACUUGACCUGUUUACCAAGCCGACAACCCUGGCAGUCUAAAGACACACCAUCGGACACGGAUCCAAGAAGAACAUGUCGAACUAAGGAUGAGAGAUGAGAGCCAACAAGUGACCAAGGUGAUGAUGCCACUACUGAAAAGAGCUGGUAGACAAGGCAACAAAGGAGGAGAGACUGGCGGCAGUGGCAGCGGAGGGCAGGUGAAGCCAAUCAAGCUCCCGGAGGCCCUUGGAGUCACAGUGUUGAGGGCCAGCACCAAGGAGAGCACUAGUAUGACGAUCUAGAAUAGAGCAAGAGUCGAAGUCAAGAAUCAACCGACAACCAGUGUCAACAAUCUGACCACCGGACAUGAGAUGCAUGGUAAGUCGAGGAACAUGAGCAACAUCUGGAACAUGAAAGCACAAAGUGCUAAGAAUGCCUCGGCCAUUAAUCGAGAGGGAGGUACCAUCAGCACUAAGAACAUGAACACGAGAAUCAAGAGGACGAAUAGAAGACAAAGUGGAUGAAUCAUGGGUCAUAUGAAAAGGUGCUCCACUGUAAGACAUAUGGGUCUAUAUUGUUGUAUCCGCUUAGAGCAUAUACAGCCGGACCUCUCAUACCUGUCUCAAACGCCCGGGCAGGCUGUUCGGUCAUUGACCGAUAAAAAAAUGACCCAAACAGACCUCUCAAACUACAGACAAACGCUCGGCUGACUGGCACCCCUCAUAUCCAGCCUAAAUCUAGGGCGGAUAUGGGGCGGCCCGGGCACGGUCGGGCGCGCCUGCCUGACAGGCCCGACCCACCAUCGACCCCACAGCUAUCCCACAAAACACCCAAUCCGGGUGCCUCGCUCUGAACCCUAGCUCACUCUCUCUCUCGCUCCGUCCUCUCCUCUCCCACUCCGAUUUCGAUCCCAUCCACUCCGAUGUCCAGCUCCGACAGCGACUCCAGCUUCGACCUUGACUACGAGGAGGAGAUAACACUCUACAUUGCAUUGGAGCGGUCCAAGGUGGGUACCGACUACAACUCCAGAUCUGGAGCGUCGCCGCAGCUCCCGUUAUGGCGCAGCGCGGAUGCCGGAGCUAGACCUUGCUGGCCCGCGCUCAGCUCUGCCAGGACCGCGUAGUCUGCAUCGCCCUCACGCCGUCUCCUUCCCCUGCCGACCGCCCCUCCACGCGGGCAGCGAUGGGUGCUAGUGCCCGCACCGCCGGCCCGCACGCGCACUCUAGAUUCGGAGGAGCGUGCCGCGUGUCAUGAUAGGUAGCAGGCACUAGAGAGGGACGUGGUGGAGCAGUCUGCAUGCCGCCGCCGUGGGAUGCAGGCGGAGCCCGAGGAGGACGAGCGGCUCCUCGCAUGGGUCUACUGCCAGUCCCUCAUGAUGUCGGAGACGGACGCUCGCCGCCUCCGACGGAAGAACGCCAAGGCGCUCCGGCUUGCUAUUGAGCAGUCGGAGCGCGAGGCGAAGGAGGCAGCGACGGAGGCGGCUCGGGUCGCCAAGUUGAAGCGGGAGUAGGACACGGCGGUCCGUCGGGUGAAGGGGCUCAUCGUCCUCUCCGACUCCGACUCCGACGACGGCGACAGCUGCACCUCCUCCUCGGACGACCAAGACCCUCCACCAGCCGUGAAUGCCUAUAGUUGUGCCGGUGACAGGGAGGGAAAAGGCCUGGGAAGGAAAUGGUGAUUCCGCCCCUCCUCAUAUGUUUAUAUCAUUUUUAGUUGUAGAGGUUUAAGAACUUGUCCUGUGAUGAACUAAGAUGAUCUUUUGGAUGUCGCAAAGUUUGUUAAUGUCGUUUGCAACCGAUCUUGUGUUUGUUUGUAGCCAAUUUUUGUUGUCCGUUGUUUGAUCACGUAGAGUAGCUCAAUGUUGCAUGUGGGGAUAUAAGGCGCCGGAUAUGAGAUACGCAGAUGCAGAGUAGCAAAUGUGAGGCGUGCCCGGCCAGUGCCCGUGGGCGCUUCCGCGGGCGUUUGCGGGGCCGGAUUUGCCCAGCGCGGCUGUAGACGCUGUUAGCCUCCUUAAUUUUUAGCAACAAAACGAUCUCGUCAAAGUUAAGUCUGGAUAGGUCAAGUCCGCCGGCAUGAAGACAUUUGAACAAUUUCAAUAAGUCAGUCUUGAUGACAUCCCAAAUUUUUUGAUAGAAUUCUACGGGGAAUCCAUCAGGGCCUGAAGCUUUACUAUGUUCCAUUUGAAACACGACAACUUUCACCUCCUCUUCAAAGAAAUGUGACAUGAAUAUAUCUUUGUCUUCUGUCGUGACUUGUGGGAUAUCAACUGUUCGAGUUUUGUCAAGGGUGAAAUACCUUUCAUCCGGCGGCCCGAACAAAGAUGUGUAGUAUUUGGUGAUAUAAUUUUUUAGCUCACAUUCGAUCUAGCCCUCAUCUUAUUGGAGGCUAAAUACACUUCUUCUUAUGCCAAUCAUUGACGACAGUUGAAAGUAUUGUGUAUUAUUGUCUCCCUUCAAGACGAAGUCGGCUUUGGAUCUUUGAUAACAUUUGAUUUUCUCUUCUCGCAAAAGAAGUGCAAUCUUUUUUGGAUCGAUUUUUCUUGAUUUAAUCUCUUGUUAUGACAAAAUGCGAGUCUCUGCAAUUUUGUCAUCGUCAAUAAUGGUGCAGAGGCGAAUCACUCCUAAGCUUGCCUCCUAUCAAACCACUUCGAGUUCAGUUUACAAGCCAAUCAUGGAACUUCUUGCACCUUGGCUUUCCUAAGAGCACGCAGGACAAGUGGAAUGCCCAAGUAGGUGUACAGGGAAACCCCACAGUAGGAAUACCCAGCGGCUGUAGGACUUGCACCAGAUCGCGCCCAUCACAGGGAAUAGGCAAGGCAGCACUUUUUGCAAGGCUAGUCACCAGCCCUGUCAACGAGCCAAACAGCGCGACGAGGAGCUUCAUCGUCUCUGCUUCCCGCCACGAAGACCACACAGUCAGCGUAAAACAAGCUUCUCACAGCAUCUCCAACAGCCGUCCAACCCACCGCGCGCUAAAAAUACGUUUGCAGCGCGUCGAUCGCCUGUUUUGGCGCGGCGGGGAGCACUGGCUCCGACGGCCGCGGUAAACUUUAACGCGUGCGCGUAGCUUCAGCAGGCGCGCUAAAAUAAAGCGCACGCGAGCAGUCGGCGUUUGCCAUAUGUUGUAUUUUGGACACGAAAUGAAUUUCAAACAUCAAAACUUAAGACAUGGCAUAAUUUAAAUCACACAAACAAGUUCAUGAUGACAUAAAAGUUCAUGCCCACAAGUUCAAAUUCAUGCCCACAACAUCAUCCAACCAAGUUCAAAAUCCGAACCAAGUUCAUGACACAAAAGUUCACACCAACAAAGGCACAUCAACAAUCAAGCCUCGUCCUCGUCUUCAUCGUCAUCUUCCUCCGAUUCAUCCGUGGCGGCAUGAAAAGGCCGCGCGCGAUGCCGGUGCUUGGAGGAGCUCUGGCGGAGGCGAAGCUUCCCGCGCUAGGGUUUGCGGCGGCGGAGGAGGAGGAGGGGUCGCGGGUGUAGGAAGGAGUGAGGAGAGUGCCGGCGCGGGCGUCCAUCAGGUCAAUUCGUCGGUGGCGGCGCAGGCGGGGCAAAGGUGGCGCGGUGGAGAGAGUGCGACGCGAGCGCUCGAGUGUGCGGCGCGCGGAAGCGGGCGCACCAAAUACACAGCGCGCGAUGGCGAUUCGGACCAGGCGCACGCUUGUUGCGCGUCCAUUGGAGUCCCUAUAUUGCUUGCGCGCGCGCUAAAAAAACAAAUUUGCGGCGCGGCGCUUAUUUAGCGCGAUUGUUGGAGAUGCUCUCACAACGGGAUGUCAUCCCAGCAAACGCGAAAGGACACCAGCUUCGGUUGCCAAGUUCAACAUGCGCUGCAGGUUCCAUGGGAAGAAUGAACAGAAUGAUAUCUUUGUUCUUUUUCUCGAAUGCACAAACAUGCGUACAUUAAAGAAGGAGCGGUAAAGAAGCCGGAUACAAGGCCUUUCGGUCAUUACAACGCUAAUCACAAGAAUUAGCCACCACAUCUAUCACACACACCUUGCCUACUAUGAUACAUGCAUCCCUAGUCUAACCUCAUUCCAAUGGCGAUGAGGCGAGCCUCAGAGCAAUCAAGCCGCGUCACAACCAACACUGAGACCUUUACAACAAAACCAAGACCCAAGACCAACCAAAACCAACUUACUGCCACCCAUUAUGCCAAGAGGAAGUCGGCAAGUGAACAACAGGGCCUGGGCAGACCUAGGGAAGGUGUCGUCGAGAUAGCACCGGCGAUGACAUACAUUGCGCCUAGGACGCCCACGCCCAGAGCAGCAGCUGACCAUGACUCAAGCCACACCGUUGAGACUCCUCGGGCAACAAGACGGCGCCUUCAAGAAGGGAAUGAUGCCAUGACGCCGCCGCCGCCGCCUGGUCCGGAGGCCAGACCGAGGGUAUCCCCCGAGCUCGAGGAAGGGAACCCAAUCUGGACAAAAACAACGCCUUCAUGAAGGGAACGACGCCCAUGGGCGUCGCCGUUGUUAGCCUCAAACGAUGUAGGGAUUUCUCCUGACACAGAUCGAAGAACCCAACGCCCGCCGGAGUUGCUCAAGCAUGCCAACCCCUCUACCGGAAGGGUUGCAAUCGCAUCACAGUAGGCACCACCACAAGCCGGCUAGAUCAGAGACCAUGGCACUCCCGCCGCGUCGCUGUUCUUCCCAGCACCAGCCACCCCCAUCCACCUUGACCAUGCCACCCCCAGCCCGCCUGUCACAGAGCACCACCACAAUAGCGGCGCCACUGCGCCGCCAUCCAAAGCUGCAGCUCGCCACCGCCACCACAGCUCCCCCUACUGAGGAAGGGGACCCCAGGCACGCCAGGGCGCCCCCACCGUUAGAUUUGGUCGUCGGGCGCCAGAUCGAUGACGCCGGCCUCAGCACUGCCCCACACGCCCCCAGCUGAUGUAGGGGAGGAGCAGCACCGUCGCCGAGCCUGGGGCCACCGCCCCAGCUUACUCACGUCGUUGAGGCGCAAUCGAUGCCUGAAGCGUUGCCUUGUCCGGGGCCGAAGCAGCGCGGCACGGCGAGGAGGCCCCGCCGCCGCCGUUCACCGCCACGGCAGCUAGGUUUCCCCUCGAGCGCCCCCCCCCCCCGGAGCGAGACGAGCGACACUGGUGGUCUAUUCUCGUUUGGGAAAGUUGUUGCUGCUUUUAGGAGUUUCAUGAUAUAUCUGUUCUAAUUUUCGCAAAUCCUACAUCAAGCGUAGACGAAGUACUUUUUGAUUUGGUACAUCACAACUAUCUAUGUUAUCAGAGCAACUCUAACGCGUUGACACAUUUCAUCCGCGCGUGUCCGUUUGGUCGUCGCGGACAGAAAAGUCGUCCCAACACGUCGAACCAAACGGACGCAUGUCUGCUCUACGUCCGCCUGACGACCCAUUCCUGACCCAAUUUCGGGCCUCAUUUGCAUCGGCGCGGACAUGAAGCGGACACACGCGACACACGCCUACUCCUUUCCCUGGCCCGCCAGUUGGUUGCACAUUGGCUAUUCUCUUCCACCCCUAUCGACAGCAAGCCCUCGCCCGCCCCACUCCACCUCGUCGCCGCCGCCAUCCAAUUCCGGUGUCCCUGCCAGCAGUCCAUGCCCACACACCUCCCGUGCACAUUGCCACCUCCCACGUCGCCGCCACCACCGCCUCGCCGCCAGGCCACCGCAACUUCCCACCCCACCCCCACCCCGAUGUCGCCGCGAGCACAAAGUCGCCCCCGCGGCCCCAGCCAGCUCCUUCGUCCGACAUCGCCGCGCUCGCCUGACGCUACCACACUCGUCGGACGCCACCAGGCUAGCUACCUGGUCCAGAGGAGCGCGCGUCUCUUCGCUGGCCAGCUUCUUCGAUGACGCUCGCAAGUUGUUCAACUGUUUGCCCCCAAGGUACAAAUGGACUCCGCCGAUGAGUUCUUUUUCCACAAUUUCCCCUGCGACUCUGACGAUUCCUCAUCUGAUGAUGAGGAUAAGGUGGUUGCUGUGUUGGUCCAUGACCACCUUAGUAGGCAGCGGCCGUUGUUUCGGUGCUUGAUCCUGGGGCACACUCCGGUGUUGAAUCGUAACCGAGAGAGCGGCCAUUUCCUUCUUUGGAAGGACUACUUUUAGACAGCCAACCCGUUGUUCAAACAUCACCAAUUCCGAUGGCGUUUCCGUAUGGCUAGGCACAUUUUGAAUCGUAUUCGACAGGGGAUGGUCGGAUACAAUAAGUAUUACGAGUGCAAGGAGGAUGCCCUUCGAAAGAUUGACUUCUCAUCUUAUCAGAAAUGCACUGCAGCUAUCCGGACGCUUGCAUACGGAGUGCCCGCUGAUCUCAUUGAUGAGUACGUCCAUAUGAGCGAGUCUAUUUGCCUAGAGUCCAUGUACAAGUUAUGCAAGGCUGCGAUUGCAGUGUUUAGCCCCAAGUACUUGAGAGAGCCGAGUGUUGAAGAUACAACCCGCUUGUUGACGAUUAAUGCCAGCAGGGCACCAGGGAUGCUUGGCAGCAUAUACUGCAUGCACUGGGAGUGGAAGAACUGUCCUUCUGCUUGGCAAGGGCAGCAUAAGGGCAUUGUCAGGGCUUGCACUGUCAUACUUGAGGCCGUGGUCUCACAAGAUCUUUGGAUCUAGCACUCUUUCUAUGGCGUGGCCGAAUCACACAAAGAUAUCAACGUGCUUCAAUGCUCACCGACGUUUGCAAGGCUUGCCGAAGGCAACAACCCGCCAAUGAAUGUUAACAUCAAUGGCCACAACUACAAUAAAUGAUACUACCUAGUUGACGGUAUCUAUCCUCAGUGGACCACUAUUGUGAAGACAAUCCCCAACCCUGUAGGAGAGAAGAGGAAAAGAUUUGCCCAAGAGCAAUAGGGUGCUAGUAAGGAUGUUGAGGGUAUAUUUGGUGUUCUGCAAUCUCGAUGGGGCAUCGUUCGAUAUCCUGCUAGAACUUGGAGCACCAAGGAAUUGUGGGAGAUGAUAACUGCUUGUGUGAUCAUGCACAAUAUGGUCAUAGAGGAUGAGCGUCCGGAACGUAUCUACGAUUGGGUUUCAGUUCCAGGGUGACAAUUGUGCCUGAGCAUGGAGGAGCGGCAAUGUUUGCAUAGUUCAUCCAAUUUCAUUAUCAAAUACGUGAAUGGGAAACUAACGUUUAUCUGCAAGAUAUUUGAUUGAGCAUAUGUGGGUUCAUGUUGACAACCAAUAGAUAUAUCUUUCCUUAAAUGUAUUUGAGACAAUUUAAUUUUUAUUUGGCUUAUAAACUAUGACAUAUUUAUUUGGGUUGUGGAGCAAUGCUAAAUUUGUUUGCUUCUAAAACUAUGCAAAAAAGUGUAUACAUUUGUUAAAAUACGGCGGCAAGCCGGUCACGCAGGCAAAUAUGGGUCGACGCGUUGGAUGCACUACCGACCCAUCCAAAUCAAAAACAGGGCGACACCGAGUGGGCAUCCGACCCAAACAGACAAAGCAUGCAUCCGUCUGGGAUGCGUCGGAGUUGCUCUCCGUCUAUCAGAAUCACUGCACACGCAACAAAGGUAUCUACUCCGAUAAACGCCUUCCCCAAAGAGGAAAUCAAUGUGUGCAGCGUAUUCAGUUACUGGCAGUAGUAAUCUUCAGGGCUCUCCCAUCUAACAUAUAAACCCUGCUACGCUACCCGCCAUUCCAGAGCCCCUGCGAGCGCGAGCGAUUUUUGGCCUUUCGAUCAUUUUACUGUUCACGUUUUUACGCUGCUGUCGAUUGGUCAGCCGUUAGUUGCUUUUACACACAUGCGCUUAGUAUAUCACUGGCUGGCUGCUGGGUCCAUCUUUCCAUGGGGCCCGGGGGCAGUGGCUGGGUUGUGCGCGCAGGUCGUCGUUGUUGUCAUGCGCAUAUGGAUUGACUCAGCGGAGUAAUUGCAUUGGCUCGUUUUGCGGGAUGUGGUGGAAUACUAUUGAUUUACUCGUCUGCUUGUUACGCUUUCUUUGAUGGUGGUCCCGAUUUACGUUUGGUCCCAUGUUGCAGUGGCUUGCGGGUGAAAGGAUUGCGCUCGCCAGCGUUGCCUGCUGCAUGCGCGUCGAUUGGCUCUCGCGUUGCCCGUAGAAUGCGCGUCGAUUGGCUGAGGGCUGAAAUCCCGCUGCUUUACUCGUCCGUGCCAUGCACUGUCUUUGAUGGUGGUCCCGGCUUGCAUUUAGGCCCGCGUUGCAGCGUCAUGUGUGCGUGAGCGGUUGGGUUCCCCAUCUCUGCUCGUUGGGUAAAGUGACGCAGGCCUGUGCCCGUUGGGUAAAAGAGAGUAACAUGGGCACAUGGCAGGUGAAAGGUGCACACAUACUUUCGGCCUUAUUUGUUCUGUCGCUGCGACUGGGCCUGUGUGUUCUGGUCCCGCUUGUAAGUUCAACCGGUAGAAGCGGGUCGGUUCAUUUGAAAUUUACAGCGCCUCGGUGCCUGGGUUUGUCAGGGAUGCACUGUGAUCACGUUCGCUGAAGUGCUGAACCGUCGUGGUGGGCGGGUGCUCAACCCGGAUCCGGCUUGCCUAUCCCCCUUUCUCGUUGCUCACUUGGAUCAUCUCUUGGCCUGACUCCGCCUUCCCAUCCCCACGGUGGAGCGCGAGAAAGGAGGGCGAGGACGAGAUGACGACCGGGUCGUCCGUCAGCCUCGCUGCCGGGGAGCAGUCGGCCCGCGGUCGCGCGGUGCUGUCCGGCCUGCCGGACACGGCCGGCAUCGUCCUCGUCGGCGAUGGGCCCCGUCGAUGUCGCCCCCCUCAGCGCUAUGAGGUCCGUCCGCUCGCCUACCUGGUGCGAUUGUUUGGUUCAUCUCAAUCGACAUUGAUCUGAUUUGAUUUUGAUUCGUGCUGGCAGGGGUGUGCGGUGCGUUUUAUGGUGCGAUGGAUGGCGCUGGGGCAAGGGCGGCCACGGCUCGCACAAGAUUCAGCUCCUGCUCGUGGAGUUAAAGGCCGGUGUUGGGGUCCUCAGCGGCGAGGAGGACGACACGUCGUGUGUACGCAGUGUUCCUCCCGCUCGUGGAGUGAGCGUUUUGGACCAGCCUCGAGGGUGGCCGUCCGGACGGCAACGAGCUUCGGCUCUGCAUCCAGAGCUGCAACUCCGGCAGGCACGCCACUUCUUCGCCCCUCUCAGUCGCCGGUGCUUUUAUUCUGUGUAUGGCGAUGGGGUUGCUUCAUCUGCUCCGUUCAUGUCGUUGAGGUUUGUUCUUCCAUCCUCUUCCUUCCUUUGCCUCCUCAAAUUCUUCUUUGGUCUUACUCCUUAUAGUAGAUUUCUGUCCUCCGUAGGUUUUGUGAUGUUUGCCUGUUUCUCGCUCUCGAGUAGGUCCCUGCGUCAAUCUUGCCUUCGGCAUUGAGGUGAGAAAAUUAGCCCCACCUUUUCUUGCUGCUCUACUGUUCGGUGAAAUGCUUGUGCCCUGAUGGAUUCCGUUUUUUCCCCUUGGUGUUCCUUCGCGUCCUGCUUCUUGCCUGCUUUGCAAGUCUUUGUUUCACCUGUUGGCUCGGUUCAGUUGAUUGUCCGUGCAUGGGUAUGUUCUGUAUACGAUGCAAAUUCGGAACAAUGGAUUUGGUUUUCUGAACCACAAAACUUGUCUAGCUUGAAUUAGCAGAUUACACCAUGAAAAUACAUACUGUCCUUUAAAAAAUACUGUGUAUUAGUACCUCUUUAGACCCUGCUGCUUGCGAUCUGAACCAGGAUAUACUUUUCUACAAUUUAGAUGUUAUAUCAGUUUGCAGAUGAGUUCGUGGCUAAUACUAGCAUUGUGAAUUUUUCAUGUUUGUCUUCCUUCCUUUCAACCUGAUGCAUGUCAGCAUGUGCAUAAUGCUCGUUUGUGACUAUUCUUUGUUUUCUUAUCACAUCUACGCCAUGGUUAUGAGGGAUAAUUUUAAUUCUAUUGCUAGAUGCUGUGUUUGAGUUUUAUCCAUCACCGGAAAAUGGUAUCAAAAGGUCUAUGGUUAAUUGUUCAGACACUGGAGCAGAAAAGGCUAUAAUUUGGUCUCACUUUGAUUCUGUUACGACUAGAUAUCAAGUUUAUAGCAUGUGAACUCUAAAGAGUAGCAACUAAAUCUUGUGCUCAAUCACUGCCUACCCUCCUGAGAACCAGAGCAAAAAAUGUAUAGUCUACACAAAUUUUAGUUAAGAUUGUAUCCAGAUCAUAUGGUACGGAUAUUGCCUCGCUGAUACUGACGUUUUGCUGAACCUGGACUUGUAAAUUGCCCUGUAUCACCCUCACACAGGUGGAUCCUCGGUAUACAAAUUAGUACUUAAGCAUUGGCUUUUCUCUGAAUAAGAAUAACGGCGUACAUACCUGAAGAAUUAAAACUUGCAAUAAUAUAUACUUCUACUUUGUACACCUGUCUGAGAAUGCCAUAAGCCUUGUUUUUACACCUCUUGAAAUUUCUCAAUCUAUUUAUGAUUCUGAACAAUUUUUAGUCUAUAAUUAAUUUUCCUGUCAACCAGCAUCCCAAGCAAGCAAUAUCAAGGUUGGUUAGCACACGUCUUACACUUCCUAUAUAUGAUAUGGUCCAUAUAUGCACAUUGCACGUAAAAAACUUGAGUUUCAUGCAUAGAUUUUUUAAAAAUAGCUUAUUUUCUAUUCGGGCACUCUUCGUAAAAAGUACUGCAUAUUGAAACUUAUGCAUUAUACCUUGCAGGUAUUGCAAGGCGCAUCAUUGGACUGAUGUACCAGAAAGGGCAGUGCCACUAGAGAUAAUUAUUCCAGAUCACCUUCUACUUCUUGAUGGAAGUCAUUAUCAGAAUGUAUGCAUCAUCGUGGUAUUUACUCAUGUACUAUACUGUAUGAAAUUAAACUGAGCUAACUGAAUUAUCUUUGAAAAAAUAUUAGACUAUGUGUAUAUUACCAAGUGUGUUCUUAUUUUUCGCUUUUCAGGUAGUUGUUAUAGGGGAGAACAAAGUAUUAAUAUUGCUGGUUUGUAAUAUAGAAUAAUCCUUAUGGUCAGAUUUGGCUAAAUUUUUAUGAAUGUUGGCGCCUGAGAGUGCCCAAAUUUGUGUUGGAUUUGAUUAGUAUGUUGUAUGCUUACUAUGUUCCAGGAGGAUCGUUCUUUGAAUACAUUGACAAACAUGUUCUGCUUUUAAUGUUAUUUCUGUACAUAAAACGUACCAAAUUAAGAACUAAUGUACCCUUCUUACUUGGAAACAGCUUCUAGGACUAACCGAUGCUAAAUUAAGAACUAGGAUUUGGCAGCAGGCAUGGUCCGUCCGGCAUGCUAUAGCCUUUUAGGUUGUUAUUGUUUACAAUUAGGUUAUGCUAAACCAGCAAAUAGAGCUUCACCAUUUAAAAUUUUGAUCCACCAAUGGUGCUCCAGUGAUUUCUACUUAUUUUUUGUUGUGUCUUGGUAGUUUGAUAAAAUAGGGCAUGAUUUUCAUAUAGUUUUGUUACAUGAUAUUACAUUGGUUUUCUGACAGAUUAAUCCAUCACAAGCAAAAUAGGAGACAAGGCAUCAUGAAGCAACUAUAGCAGGCUAUGACAAUUGGUUGUAAUAAAUAAAUGGAGAAUACCCACUGACAGAAGUUUUUGCGCUAAAUAUGUAAGCCAUCCUAAACCCAAUAAAAAACAAAAGAGAACAAUACCGAACCUGAGUAGUAUUCCAAUUUUAUCUCAUAUUAUUUCAUAUAUAUCUGUCAUCAGAUAAGUAUAUUGCAAAUAGAAGGGUUAAAAACAAAUGUAGAAUUUCUGCCAAAUGAAGCUAUGCAAUAUAUGGAACUAACUUGCAAUAGGAUCCCAUGGGAUUACAACUAUGCGAAGAACAGUCUGCUAAGAAAGAAAUUCAGUCCAGUCAAAACGAAAAUCAGUCUCUUUGGCGUCAGAUUGAACAUAUAAAUGAUGAAGGGGGUGCCAGGCAGGCUCGUUGCAUCCACGUCCUCGCUAUUCCUCGCUAUGAAUAGUGCAAAGCAGCUGGCGAGCGAGCGAAAAAAAAACAAGCGAGAGAUAGAUCCCUGCAGCCACCGCAUGCUUCCUCCAUCUCUCCCCUCCCGCACCAUCCACUUCCUCCCUCUGCGCCGCCUCCUCUCCUCCCGAUUCGCCUCCUCCUCUCCUCCUCUCGCGCCUCCUCUCAUCUCCACCUCCUCUCCAGCUGUCGCCGCUGCGCCAGGGCCUCGCCUUGCCCUGCAGUUCCUCGUGCGCCUUCUCUCAUCUCCGCCUCCUCUCCUGCUGCCGCCGCCGCGCCAGGGCCUCGCCUCGCCCUCACCGCCCACUGGUGACCUCCCAGCCCUUGUUCUCCGCCUAAUCCUUUUGCUUCUCUGUACAGGUAGGAACAUGAUACUACACUUGAUCUUUUCGCAAAAUAAAAACUGCUUGCAACAGAGAUGAUGCCUCUAAUUUAGUUAGCUAAUGCUGAUGCUAUAUGGCAUUUUUUUUUGUAUUGAAGGAACUGUGUACAUAAUGAACCAUAUAUUAAUAAUCCAGUGAUUUCUGCUCAUUACUAAUCUAAUGUGUUGUUUACUUGUUAUAGACACUGCUGCAUUUGUUGUCCAUUUUGCCAUCGUGAGCUUCAGGUAACUACAUGUGCAAAUAUGCCAAUGGAUUACAUCCUCAGGAUUAACAAGUUCAUGUGUGCUGCUGCUCUUACUAUCUACUAGGUAGGCUGGUCUGAACGCGCUAUUGAUGGCGUUUUCCUCUGGAGUACCAAGAAAAAUAGCAGGUAACAGAAUUUCUCUUUUUGUGACUUCUUAAAUGUUUGUUUCUUGAAUGAGUCCACUCAUUUUGUAUUUCGCUAUGCUAUUGAAAGUUCUGUGAUGCUUACUGUCUAGCUGAUUUUUUUUGUAAAUCAAUAGUUAAGAAGAUGUUGAUUAUAUUUAGUUUGUAUGACAGUAAAGGAUGUAUGUUAAGUGGUAAAAAAGAAGUAACAUACUAAUUAGAUUAUUUUAUAUUUGUAUUUGCUUUGCCUUUUAUCUUCCUACAAUAGUCAGUUGUUUUUGGCACUCUGUGCAAGUGGUACAUCAUCGAAAGACAUUGGAUCGCUGUUUUUUUUAUUUUAAUGAUUUUUGUUUCAGCUACCCAAUUUUUGUCUUGAUGGUUGUCUAAGAUGAGUUUCACUUCUUUGUUCAGAUCAUCCCUGUAGUAGAAGCCAUGCAAGCGCCAUGUAAAAUGGUUUUGAAUCGGAACCGAAGCCAUCUGUUGGAAGUAACAUCUGUAGGGACUGAACCUGUAUGCCACUCCCAGUAAUAUAGAGUGAAGGCAAUAACAACAUUGUUUGCUGUUGGUUUAUAAUCGGUGAGUUCCUACUCCUUGGAUUCACCUGUUUAUUGCCUGCAUACCUUGGCUAGGAUAUGUUGUUUCUUAAUAUUACCCGCAAGUCUGAAUCUUUUAAUUAUUUGUACAAUAUUUUUAAUUAUAGGAGUAUUGGCCAUUGUUUAUUCUUGGUAUGCACAUCAAAUUUUCAGAUAUUCUUAAUUGUGGAUGUACCUUUAGGCUUUCGUGAAAUAGAUAUGUAUCAUAUAUUGAUGCGUGUCCUAAGCAGCAGAUCAUUACUAUAGUUUAUGUAGUGUCAAAACCUUACAUUAUGUGCCUUCUUUUAAGUUUUCACAUAAAGCUAGGGUGUUCCUCUGUUUAGAGAGUUUGGAUAGAAGGCAAUACUAAACUGCUUCCGUUUAUUGUCUCGAUAUGAUCUUUUAACAUUGUUUCUCAACUGUGUUCAAUCUGGCUUAUCAAUAAAAUAUACUCACUGUCAUGCGUUCUGCCUUGAUCCAUUCCCUAUGCUUAUUUGGUUGGGUUAGUGCAGGUAACUGGCCAAGCUACUUGGCUCACUUUCGUUGCCUUUUGCGGGUCCUUUUGUGGGAUGUUGUUGUCAUUCUCGGCCUUAAUGCUCGGAGGAGGGUCAGGGGCAUUUCCUUCAUGGGAAGAGGGGCAUCUGUGAGGGUAUUGGCCAGAAGUAGGCAAGGUAAAAAAACUAGGUUCUAUCUCUGCUACAUCUGAUUAGGCAACUAAAUUUGGUCCCCUUACUCAUUUCUUUUUCACUUACUGUAUGUGAAGCGAUACAAUUUUAUUUCCAUUACUGCAUCUUAAUAUGUUUUAGCGAUUGGUGAAUGCACAACUUUAGCUCAUAAACUACAUGGCAAAUGCUAAUUCUGAUGGGGCUUUUGCCACUUAUUGUUUUGUGGUUGUCUAGACAGCUGAUGGCAUGGUUCUUUCUUGCUAAUUGCCAAUUCUUUUGUAUAGGGUCCCUCGGCUACUUAUGCUUUGCUAGACAAUGAGGGUAUGUAGAUAGCAUGUAUGGUUUUCACAUUGUUUUGUGCAGAUUGAGAUGCAUCACAUGAUGUUUUCCUUUUACAUUUAUGGAUAUUACAGAGUCCUUUCCUUUUCCACAAGGGGUAGUAGCUGUGCCAUUCGAUUCGGAAGACAAAGAGUUGAUCACAAAGGGGUAGCAUUCAGGACCUUUCCUUUUCCACAAGGGACAGUAGCUGUGCCAUUCGAUUCGAAGGACAAAGAGUUGAUCACAAAGGGAUAGCAUUCAGGAUAUAUACACAAAAGAGUAUGAAACCAAAUUAUAUGAUAUAGUUGACCACUAUUUCUAUUAACUUCUUCUGUACACAAUGUUCAUGAGUUCAUGUAUUAAGUACAUUUUAUUGUGUCACUUGUGUUUACUCUUUUUUUAAUGCAAGUUUACAGCUACUCGGAGUUCCUAAUUGCAGACUCAAUUAUCUUGACCUACCGAUGAUCUAAUUUGUGGCAUUAUUACCUUAAGAAAAUAUUUGCAUUUAGUUUCCUUUAUAUAGGAGUACAAGUUCUUACCAAAUGUAUUCAAAUAUACGGUUAUUGAAAAAAUGGAAAAUAUUUUCAACACGAACAUGGUUUUUUUUUUUGCGGAAAAACUUCCAAUCUAUUCAUCUUCAAUCAUGGCAGUACAACGAAUACCAGAAAUAAAAAUUACAUCCAGAUUCGUAGACCACCUAGCGACGACUACAAGCACCGAAGCGAGCCGAAGGCGCGCCGCCGUCAUCGCCCCUCCAUCGCCGGAGCCGGGCACAACUUGUUGUAGUAGACAGUCAGGAAGUCGUCGUGCUAAGGCCCCAUAGGACCAGCACCCCAGAACAGCAACCGCCGCCGAUGAAAAAUAACGUAGAUCGGAAGGAUCCAAACCGAAGACACACGAACGUAGACGAACAACGACGAGAUCCGAGCAAAUCCACCAAAAAUAGAUCUGCCGGAGACACACCUCCACACGCCCACCAACGAUGCUAGACGCACCGCCGGAACGGGGGCUAGGCAGGGAGACCUUUAUUCCAUCUUCAGGGAGCCGCCGCCGUCUCGCCUUCCUGAGUAGGACACAAACCCUAACAAGAUUGAAAAAAACGACUAAAAACGAAGCCCUCCCGCCGGCCCUUGCCAGGAUCCACCGCGCCUCCAUGGCCCUAGGGCCACCGGAGACGAGGCGGACCUGCGCCGGCGCCGGCGAGAGGCACAAACCCUAACUUUCUUUCUUGGAGGAGGAGGAGGAGGUUAUAACACGAACAUGGUUUUAAACGGGUCUUUGCGCCAUUUGGCGCAACUGGUCAUCUAGUACUCUUAAACUGAACCAAAUCUCAAUGUAAGAAAAGAAAUAUAAGGUCGUGACUUUCUCAGGUUACAGGCAUGGAACAGUAAAAGACAGCGAAUUUCUGAGUUACAACAGAGAUACAAUGCAACAAGGUAACAUAGGGAAAAUGCAACAAUGUAACAUAUAAGCAAACUAAAAUUCCUCGUUGCUGAAUUCGAUAAACUAGUGUAAUCUGGGCGCACAAAAGUGAACAAUAGUGUUACAACAAAACACUGCUACGAACAAGCUAGCUUACAACAAUGCGGCAGGCGCUUAAAAGACAGCAGGCAAUACAUGUGAGUUCAAAAAUACUCUAUCAAGAAUAAUAACUGAGACUCAGCUCACCUUACUCAACCAGAUAUUCCGGAGGCGGCUGCGCAUGUAUUGACACCAUCCUUGCAGUCGCGUGUUAGGUCAUUGAAUGUCUCCAACUUCCUCUUCCCCCUGAGGAACACCUCAGUGUCAACUGCAACCCUCAUGUAACCAUCGAACUCCACCGGAUUGCCAUUGUUGAGCUCCUUAGUUUCAGCAUACCAUUCACUAUUUUCAUCCCAAAGGUCCUUGAAAUCAUCCAGGAAACGCGUCUUAUACUUGUUCUUCAGCGGGUCGAAGAAGGAUUUAUCAGACUCGUCUGUAGCAAUGUACAAAUACCGUCCGGCACCAACCUUAUCAUUGAGUGUCGUAAGGAGAUUUUCUGGCGAGGUAUCUGCAUCAAGGUUUGGCCACAGCUGUGUGUUCUGGGCUUUCUCUCCUCUCACGACGUGCAUCGAGUCGAAAUCCCAACUCAUUCGAGAGGCAAUGGCAGACACAAUCUCCAUCAAGCGGCGCGACUUCCACAAGAAAUGCCAUGGCCGUUUGAUCAUGGCCUCCGUCUCACCCUCGCACACACGUGACCAGUAGUUAUCCGGCUCAACAUGCCCAAACUUCCUCAUGAUCAGCGUGUCCUUGACGUCACGAAGUUUCAUGGGGGUCACCUUGAUGUCUUCAGUGUAGUGGUUCUUCAGUCGAUCCUUCUUGUGCCACUUCCCCCAGUCUGUCCAGAACUGACUCUGAUCGAUCACAGAUGCAGAUUCCUUCAGGUGCUCAAAAUCAAAGUAGAGCCUGAAAUCUUUUUCUUCAUCCUUGCCACUGGCAGUAUACCGGGAAUUGAGGCAGACGUUGAAGUCCAUAACAAGUGUCCGAUUCAAGAACUGCGCCUCACCUAGCGCACACAAAAAGCCCCAAAUGUAGUGGUUCAUGCUCUUGCAUCUCUCACCACCUCCCAUGUAAAUGAGGUACCUUCCGCGGCUGAAAUCGGACUCAGAAGCGACCACCGGCAUGCUGUCAUUGACGGCAUCGCCGACAACAAACACCUGGUCUGCAGCAGUCGUGGUGUCUGCAUUAGCACCAUUCUCGUCGAUCCUCAUCUGGGUCUUGGCUGGCACGAAGUCUGUGGUCACCGGUGCCUCACGCUUUCCCUUCUUGCCCUUCUUGCCCUUGCGUCGCCCGCUGCGCUUGGCGCCGGUGCCGGAGUGGUACUCGCCGAUGCUUUCCACCACGAGGGAGCAUGUGUUGACAUCGCGGGUGAGCGUGAACCGGCGGUAGUCCUUAUAGUAGGUGGUGCGUCCUGUGGCGUCUUCGGCUGGGCGGAAGCGCCAGGCGAGGUCGCACGCCAUGGGGCUCUCCGGCACCACGACGGGGCGGCCGAAGCGAUAGAAGUGCAGGUCGGGGAACCUCUCGAUCGACGUACGCAUGAGCAGGUUGAAGAGCUCCCUAUCCCCCGUGCAGUCCACCGGCGCCUCCGUGUCGCAGGAAACAGCCUCCACGAUAGGCUUCUCCUCCUGGGCGGCCGAGUUGGGGUCGGUGACGGUGUCGGUGUCGACGGUGACGGACUGCUCCGUCUCUACCUCCGUUUUCUCGGAUCCAACAUCGGAGAGCUCGAUGAACUUGGGUCCGACAGUGGCGUGGGCGUCCUCGGAGGAGUUGGAGCCGGUGGCGAAGUCCUCCCCGGUACGGAGCACGGAGUCGUCGGCGAGGAAGGUGGAGUUGGAGGUGGCGGAGGUGAGGAACGCGGUGAGCUGGUGGGAGGAUGGGUGCAGGAGCGGGUCGUCGGGGCUGUGGACGGCGGCGAGGAGCGUGAACGCGAGGACGGCG